GAAUGAAGGAAAAUAAUGAGGAAGAUUGUCCUAAAACAUUCCAUAUUCUUAAACUAUGAUAAAGUUCAUUUCUUGAAAUAAUUUACGGCCUAAAAAUGGACAGUAUUCUAGAAAAGAUUGCUCCAACAGAAUCCAAUGACAUUUAAUUCAUGAAUGACAUCCAACAAUCACAUGAUUUUAUCUUACAUAUUAUGUUUAUAUUUGAAGACUUCUAAUGGGGUUACCCAAGAAACUAAGAAAGCACA
Molecule: unclassified non-coding RNA, 245 nt
Filed under: Hevea brasiliensis (rubber tree)
Lineage: Eukaryota; Viridiplantae; Streptophyta; Magnoliopsida; Malpighiales; Euphorbiaceae
Source: RNAcentral